CGGCUCAAUAUCUUUUUGGUCCCUGUGCUCCAACCAAAAAAGGGCCCUUUGUUCUCUGUAUUUUUCUUCUAGAUUUUUUAAAAAUACAUCAUAAAACACUAAAAAAUAAGGAAAAAAUUUUGGGGACCCUGUGCUAGUGCACCGCUUGCACACCCUUAGAGCCGGGCCUGCAUUAAACCCCGUCUGCGAUUGAUAAAACCCGUCUGUGAUCGAUAGAAACUGCCAGUGACCGAAAGCCAGUGCUAUCGACCAAGAAGCCAACGACAACGAUCAAGAAGCAACUGACGGUCGAAUGGCUAACUACGGUUGUCAAUCUCUAGUUACUUAACGAAGGGCAGAUCUCGUUUAACGGUUUAAGACAGAUGUUUACGGUUUCGGUGUGUUGGUUGAUUCUUGAGAUCUUGAGUGGUAAGAGUAUGUGGAAUACGGAAAUGGGGGAGAACGGGGAGGAUCUUGUAACAUACGUAAGUAUACUCACUGACUGCAAGGCAAAGAAGAUGCACAUUGCACAAGGCAAAAAAAACCACUGAAACCAGAGGACUCCAACUUAGAAAUACAUGAUAGGGGAGAUACAUUGACUUGCAUUAGCAUUGGUCUGGUAUGCGCUGAAUAUAAUCCUUCAGACAGGGCAAAAUGAGGAAUCUACGUCAGAUGCUAGAAAAAACCAACCGCUCUCAGGCAUCAUCAGAGCAGAGAAUUGCAAAAGGAAGAAAAAUCUGGAGUACAUGUUUGAGGUAAUGAGACCGUACAUGUUUUUACAUCUUUUUUAAAAUGUGAUUGAAUUAUAAAGUCUGCUUUUGUG
Non-coding RNA from Camelina sativa (false flax), 802 nucleotides. Lineage: Eukaryota; Viridiplantae; Streptophyta; Magnoliopsida; Brassicales; Brassicaceae. The record is from RefSeq and is a predicted model, not a curated record.